Non-coding RNA from Pelobates cultripes (western spadefoot toad), 602 nucleotides. The record is from the annotation of a GenBank genome assembly. NCBI's taxonomy places the organism in Eukaryota, Metazoa, Chordata, Amphibia, Anura, Pelobatidae.
CUAUGAAAAUGGGGUAUAAAUAUAACUGACGUAUGAAUACAAUUUGAAUUGGUUAUUGAACACGUCUCUGCUAUUCAUUUCCAAUUUCCAGAGCUCUGUAUGAGUUGGCAAAUAUCCAUCAUCCACAAAGGGCCAGGCUGAUUUUAUCCCCAACAAAUUGGUGUCAGAAGUUUGGGUGCAAUUAGGAACGGAGUUGCAGGUAAGGGGGUCUUUAGCCCCUUGGGGACACAACUUCUGGAAUUUAAGGGUAUCAUGAUGGAGUAUUUCUGUCGUGUGUCCUUAAGGGGUUGGGGACCUUUGCCUGCUUCUGCCAUCCUCCCACACAUUGCAUUUCUUGUUUUAAUGGGGUUUUUCACUAUUUACAUUUUUAAAGGGGAUUUUCACAGGAUAAUGUCUUUGGUAGACAUGGUAUUUUGUUAAGUCUUAGGUAGACUUCUAUUACUCCACGGGUUGGAGGAUUGCCUUUGGUAGGUAGUAGUAGUUAUUGUGCACAUUUCCUCUUUGGUAAGAGGUUCACCUUUGGCCAGGUGUUAAAAAUAAUUUCAAGCCUUUGGUAGGCUGUGAUGUACCUGUGAUGUACACUUACAUAUGGGAGACGUCCC